This is a long non-coding RNA of Hemicordylus capensis (graceful crag lizard), 490 nucleotides long. RefSeq lists it as uncharacterized. The transcript is spliced from 3 exons. Lineage: Eukaryota; Metazoa; Chordata; Lepidosauria; Squamata; Cordylidae. The record is from RefSeq and is a predicted model, not a curated record.
AGAGAAGGCCUGCUUCCAAGUCACCGCCAGAGGAUUUAAUGGUUCAACCCCAUUCCUUCCUGGCUGGAUUGUGUUUCCUCCUCACACAUUUUCGCAGUUACCGCCGCUUUCUUUGUUCCAUGCAAGUGAAUGGAGUGAAGAUCUGGGACUGAUGCUACCAUUGGCACACCCCAUCUUAGGCACUGUAGUGACCUGCCUCCCCUCCUUCUAAAGAGUUAAUUGGAAGUGGACCCCUGUCUUGACUGUUAAGCUGGUGAACUCCAGGGCAACCAAUCAGUGCACCAGCAGGUACAGCAAGAGAAGGCACUCAUCUAUAGCAUAUCAGCUUGGAUCUCCAUAUGUACCAACUCAAGACUACAUUUAAAACAUGGUGACUAUAAAGCUUAAAAACAACAGACGCUUGGAAAUAAUAUCUCUAUAGCAAAUAAAUUGCCAGAUAUCCAAAAAGCAAUGGGAAACGGAGUGAACCGAUACCUGUUUCCUAAUUACG